UGGGGAAUCUUGGACAAUGGGCGAAAGCCUGAUCCAGCCAUGCCGCGUGAGUGAAGAAGGCCUUAGGGUUGUAAAGCUCUUUUGGCAGGGACGAUAAUGACGGUACCUGCAGAAUAAGCCCCGGCUAACUUCGUGCCAGCAGCCGCGGUAAUACGAAGGGGGCUAGCGUUGCUCGGAAUCACUGGGCGUAAAGGGUGCGUAGGCGGGUCUUUAAGUCAGGGGUGAAAUCCUGGAGCUCAACUCCAGAACUGCCUUUGAUACUGAAGAUCUUGAGUUCGGGAGAGGUGAGUGGAACUGCGAGUGUAGAGGUGAAAUUCGUAGAUAUUCGCAAGAACACCAGUGGCGAAGGCGGCUCACUGGCCCGAUACUGACGCUGAGGCACGAAAGCGUGGGGAGCAAAC
RNAcentral lists this ribosomal RNA (401 nucleotides) under uncultured bacterium. Its description in RNAcentral is "bacterial SSU rRNA". It matches the Rfam family "Bacterial small subunit ribosomal RNA", at positions 355 to 773 of the family's 1533-position model. The record is from RNAcentral.